Molecule: long non-coding RNA, 220 nt
Filed under: Mytilus galloprovincialis (Mediterranean mussel)
Lineage: Eukaryota; Metazoa; Mollusca; Bivalvia; Mytilida; Mytilidae
Source: RNAcentral
AUCAAAUUUUAAUCUUUUAUUUUUAUUUUUAGUAUCGUUUUCAGAUAAAAUAUCGUUAAAGUCUCCUCCGAUUAUUAGUUGUCCAAGACUAUAUUUAUCUAUAAAAGUUUUAACCGUUUUAAAAAAAGUGUUUCUUAGCUUAGUAUUAUUUGGUGCAUAAACGUUUGCAAUUGUAAGUAUGCUUUCGUCAAUUUCUAUAUUUACCAGAAGAAGUCUUCCA